AGCCUAUAUUGGACUAUAUCACAGGAUGUGGCUUAUCUGUUGUUUCUAGGCUUUAAUAAAUUCACAGUCCAGUGUAGAAGCCCCCUCAUUUCUCUGGAGGAGUCUAAGGAAGGCCAUCGCUCUUUUCUGAAAGAUCCAUCAGAUGAGACACAAAGCCUGAAUUCCAGCCCUUCCAAAAGCUGCAAGUUUUUUAAUGACAGUGACGAUGGCAUUGCCCUAUCCUGGUGGAUUACUUAGAACACUUCCAAGCACUUACAUAGUCAUGAUCUCAAAUGGCAUUUGGAUCACCGAGCUGACUCUUGAGAAGCUGUCAGUGUUACUGCAGAUGGCUUUGGCUCUUCAUUCACAUUCUCGGAUUCUUCUGCUGCUAGC
This is a long non-coding RNA of Fukomys damarensis (Damara mole-rat), 372 nucleotides long. RefSeq lists it as uncharacterized. Lineage: Eukaryota; Metazoa; Chordata; Mammalia; Rodentia; Bathyergidae. The record is from RefSeq and is a predicted model, not a curated record. The transcript has 3 exons.